UGCAGUCGAGCGGUAGCACAGAGAGCUUGCUCUCGGGUGACGAGCGGCGGACGGGUGAGUAAUGUCUGGGAAACUGCCUGAUGGAGGGGGAUAACUACUGGAAACGGUAGCUAAUACCGCAUAACGUCGCAAGACCAAAGUGGGGGACCUUCGGGCCUCAUGCCAUCAGAUGUGCCCAGAUGGGAUUAGCUAGUAGGUGGGGUAACGGCUCACCUAGGCGACGAUCCCUAGCUGGUCUGAGAGGAUGACCAGCCACACUGGAACUGAGACACGGUCCAGACUCCUACGGGAGGCAGCAGUGGGGAAUAUUGCACAAUGGGCGCAAGCCUGAUGCAGCCAUGCCGCGUGUGUGAAGAAGGCCUUCGGGUUGUAAAGCACUUUCAGCGGGGAGGAAGGCGUUAAGGUUAAUAACCUUGGCGAUUGACGUUACCCGCAGAAGAAGCACCGGCUAACUCCGUGCCAGCAGCCGCGGUAAUACGGAGGGUGCAAGCGUUAAUCGGAAUUACUGGGCGUAAAGCGCACGCAGGCGGUCUGUCAAGUCGGAUGUGAAAUCCCCGGGCUCAACCUGGGAACUGCAUUCGAAACUGGCAGGCUAGAGUCUUGUAGAGGGGGGUAGAAUUCCAGGUGUAGCGGUGAAAUGCGUAGAGAUCUGGAGGAAUACCGGUGGCGAAGGCGGCCCCCUGGACAAAGACUGACGCUCAGGUGCGAAAGCGUGGGGAGCAAACAGGAUUAGAUACCCUGGUAGUCCACGCCGUAAACGAUGUCGAUUUGGAGGUUGUGCCCUUGAGGCGUGGCUUCCGGAGCUAACGCGUUAAAUCGACCGCCUGGGGAGUACGGCCGCAAGGUUAAAACUCAAAUGAAUUGACGGGGGCCCGCACAAGCGGUGGAGCAUGUGGUUUAAUUCGAUGCAACGCGAAGAACCUUACCUGGUCUUGACAUCCACAGAACUUUCCAGAGAUGGAUUGGUGCCUUCGGGAACUGUGAGACAGGUGCUGCAUGGCUGUCGUCAGCUCGUGUUGUGAAAUGUUGGGUUAAGUCCCGCAACGAGCGCAACCCUUAUCCUUUGUUGCCAGCGGUUCGGCCGGGAACUCAAAGGAGACUGCCAGUGAUAAACUGGAGGAAGGUGGGGAUGACGUCAAGUCAUCAUGGCCCUUACGACCAGGGCUACACACGUGCUACAAUGGCAUAUACAAAGAGAAGCGACCUCGCGAGAGCAAGCGGACCUCAUAAAGUAUGUCGUAGUCCGGAUUGGAGUCUGCAACUCGACUCCAUGAAGUCGGAAUCGCUAGUAAUCGUAGAUCAGAAUGCUACGGUGAAUACGUUCCCGGGCCUUGUACACACCGCCCGUCACACCAUGGGAGUGGGUUGCAAAAGAAGUAGGUAGCUUAACCUUCGGGAGGGCGCUA
Molecule: ribosomal RNA, 1406 nt
Filed under: Klebsiella pneumoniae subsp. pneumoniae
Lineage: Bacteria; Pseudomonadati; Pseudomonadota; Gammaproteobacteria; Enterobacterales; Enterobacteriaceae
Description: bacterial SSU rRNA
Rfam family: Bacterial small subunit ribosomal RNA
Source: RNAcentral